CCUACGGGAGGCUGCAGUGGGGAAUAUUGCACAAUGGGGGAAACCCUGAUGCAGCGACGCCGCGUGAGUGAAGAAGUAUUUCGGUACGUAAAGCUCUAUCAGCAGGGAAGAAAAUGACGGUACCUGACUAAGAAGCCCCGGCUAACUACGUGCCAGCAGCCGCGGUAAUACGUAGGGGGCAAGCGUUAUCCGGAUUUACUGGGUGUAAAGGGAGCGUAGACGGCAGCGCAAGUCUGGAGUGAAAUCCCAUGGCUUAACCAUGGAACUGCUUUGGAAACUGUGCAGCUAGAGUGCAGGAGAGGUAAGCGGAAUUCCUAGUGUAGCGGUGAAAUGCGUAGAUAUUAGGAGGAACACCAGUGGCGAAGGCGGCUUACUGGACUGCAACUGACGUUGAGGCUCGAAAGCGUGGGGAGCAAACAGGAUUAGAUACCCUUGUGGUC
This 440-nucleotide ribosomal RNA is filed under the name uncultured bacterium. RNAcentral describes it as "partial 16S ribosomal RNA". It matches the Rfam family "Bacterial small subunit ribosomal RNA", at positions 338 to 795 of the family's 1533-position model. The record is from RNAcentral.